GUGAUCACUUCAGCAGCACGUAUUCUAACAUUGGAAUGAUAUGGAGAAGAUUCGCAUGGCCCCUGUCCAAGGAUGACAUGCAAAUUCGUGAAGUGUUCCACAUUUUU
RNAcentral lists this small nuclear RNA (107 nucleotides) under Meriones unguiculatus (Mongolian gerbil). The record is from RNAcentral. Lineage: Eukaryota; Metazoa; Chordata; Mammalia; Rodentia; Muridae.